RNAcentral lists this ribosomal RNA (912 nucleotides) under uncultured archaeon. RNAcentral's name for it is "bacterial SSU rRNA". It matches the Rfam family "Archaeal small subunit ribosomal RNA", at positions 1 to 922 of the family's 1478-position model. The record is from RNAcentral.
UUCCGGUUGAUCCUGCCGGAGGUUAUUGCUAUCAGGGUUUGACUAAGCCAUGCGAGUCGAGAGGUGUAAGACCUCGGCAUACUGCUCAGUAACACAUGGAUAAUCUGCCCUUAGGUGGAGGAUAUCCCCGGGAAACUGGGACUAAUACUCCAUAGUGGAUAUAUGCUGGAAUGCUGUAUCCUCGAAAGAUUAAUCGCCUAAGGAUGAGUCUGUGCCCGAUUAGGUUGUUGGCGGGGUAACGGCCCACCAAGCCAUUGAUCGGUACGGGUUGUGGGAGCAAGAUCCCGGAGAUGGAUUCUGAGACAUGAAUCCAGGCCCUACGGGGCGCAGCAGGCGCGCAAACUUUACAAUGCGAGCAAUCGUGAUAAGGAAACCCUGAGUGCCUGUCGAUGCAGGCUGUUCAUAUAUCUAAAUCAUAUGUGAAGAAAGGGCAGGGCAAGACCGGUGCCAGCCGCCGCGGUAAUACCGGCUGCUCGAGUGAUAACCACUAUUACUGGGUUUAAAGCGUCCGUAGCUUGAUUGUUAGGUCUCUUGGGAAAUCUUCACGCUCAACGUGAAGGCGUCUAAGAGAUACCGGCAAUCUUGGAACUGGGAGAGGUAAACCGUACUUCGGGGGUAGGAGUGAAAUCUCGUAAUCCUCGAGGGACGACCUAUGGCGAAGGCAGUUUACCAGAACAGCUUCGACAGUGAGGGACGAAAGCUGGGGGAGCAAACGGGAUUAGAUACCCCGGUAGUCCCAGCCGUAAACAAUGUGCGUUAGGUCUGUCGGUAACCACGUGUUACUGAUGAGCCGAAGAGAAAUCGUGAAACGCACCACCUGGGAAGUACGGUCGCAAGGCUGAAACUUAAAGGAAUUGGCGGGGGAGCACCACAACAGGUGGAGCCUGCGGUUUAAUUGGAGUCAACGCCGGA